Long non-coding RNA from Neodiprion virginianus, 1234 nucleotides. RefSeq lists it as uncharacterized. The record is from RefSeq and is a predicted model, not a curated record. The transcript is spliced from 2 exons. NCBI's taxonomy places the organism in Eukaryota, Metazoa, Arthropoda, Insecta, Hymenoptera, Diprionidae.
GUAUAACCAUAAAAUCCUUACAUGUCCAUUUUUAUAUGCGAAAGGAACAGCCGGGUAGAACGAAAUAUUUCACAGAAAGCGACCAUCCGAUAUGAAAUUAAUUUACCGGCUGAUCAGGCAUUCAAAUCCACUGAGCGCAAUCAAUUUUUUCCUGCUUUGUAAUUUUAUUUUUCUUGUGUCAAUAAUGAUUAUAUACGGUUGCAAAAUACGAAACGUUAUCGUCUUUCAAGACCGAAGAUUAUGUAUCCAUGCAAUAUUGAAAGCAGAAUAUCUUUAGAGGAGGCCGUUAAAACGGAUUAGAUAAAAUGUAACAUUGAAAUUAACGACGCGAAUGCAUAUUUAUACAAAGCUUUGAUUAAUGUCGUAUCUUCAGCAAAAUUUCGCGGAAUUAUGGAGGAAGGAGGGAGUUUGAGGGUUCGUAUCACGGGUAUAAAUAAAGUCCGCAGAAGCUACACGCCGCAAUUGAUACGUUUAGUUUUGACGAAGACUGACAUCAGUGUGAAAAUGAUCGGACAGUUCCAGUCGCUGUUUCUGCAGCUUGCGUGCGUCUUGACAGUUUUUGGAGUUUUGAGCUCAGCGGAAACGGACCUCCAGCUCAUAGGUGAUAAAAGAUCCCGUAUUGCCGAGAGAAGGCAUUGAACGAAAUUGAACGAACGUUACUUUCAGUCAAUCAGGCGCCGAGAUCCUACACCCCGUACAGAGACAAUACAGUUUCUUACAAGGUUUUCACCGAGGAGAGAACUUGGGAGGAAGCUGAGCAAAAGUGCAUCGAGGACGGAGCUCGUCUGGCUAUAAUCGACACCUAUGACAAAGUUCGCUUCGUAGGCGACAUAAAACCAUUCGUCUGCUACUUGUGGGUCGGCAUAAGAAGAUCAGGCCCUUCGGACGCGUGGACCAAGGCGCACAACGGUGCGCCGGUACCCAACGUUCCGUGGGCACCAACGCAACCCAACGGCACUCAAAACUGCAGCACGAUCCAAGGGUGCAACCUAGGAUUGGGCAACGAAGACUGCGCGGCUCGACUGGGUUUCGUAUGCGAAAAGCCGAUAAGCGGACAAGAGGGAACGUUCUCUCUCUCUCCAUCGAUGUCGCUGAAACAAGUGUGUCAGUUAAUCGCGUCUCCGUCAAUCCCAAAAAAAAAGGCAAUCGCGUCUCCGUCAAUCCCAAAAAAAAAGGCAAUCGCAUCUCUUCCGGACGGCUACGCCCCGAUUCUCAACUCAAGCGUGGCUUACAA